This 270-nucleotide ribosomal RNA is filed under the name Triticum aestivum (bread wheat). Its description in RNAcentral is "partial small subunit ribosomal RNA". The record is from RNAcentral. Lineage: Eukaryota; Viridiplantae; Streptophyta; Magnoliopsida; Poales; Poaceae.
AUGAGGCCUCAGGUGCUGCUCCUCGCGUUGGCCAUCGUCGCCGUCCUCGCAGCUCUGCCCCUUGCACAUGGCCAAGGGGCGAGCCCGUGGCCGUGCUGCGACAAGUGCGGUGUGUGUACCAAGUCCAUCCCGCCGCAGUGCAGGUGCCAGGACGUGACGCCGACCGGGUGCAACUCAGCUUGCAAGAGCUGCGUCAGGUCCACCGCCGGCUUCCAGUGCGCGGACAGCAUCACCAACUUCUGCCAGCGCCGCUGCACGGCGGCGGCGUGA